GAAAUGCGAUAAGUAAUGUGAAUUGCAGAAUUCAGUGAAUCAUCGAAUCUUUGAACGCACAUUGCGCCCGCCAGCACUCUGGCGGGCAUGCCUGUUCGAGCGUCAUUUCAACCCUCAGAACCCCUUGCGGGAUCUGGCGUUGGGGAUUGGCAUCCAGCCAGCCCCGAAAUCUAGUGGCGGUCCCUCCGCGACCUCCCCUGUGCAGUAGCGAUACCUCGCAGCGGGACAGCGGUCUGACCACGCCGUAAAACCCCCAACUUCUCAAGGUUGACCUCGAAUCAGGUAGGAAUACCUGCUGAACUUAAGC
RNAcentral lists this unclassified non-coding RNA (307 nucleotides) under plant metagenome. Its description in RNAcentral is "partial contains 5.8S ribosomal RNA, internal transcribed spacer 2, and large subunit ribosomal RNA". The stretch from base 1 to 105 matches the Rfam family "5.8S ribosomal RNA", at positions 50 to 154 of the family's 154-position model. The record is from RNAcentral.